RNAcentral lists this ribosomal RNA (484 nucleotides) under uncultured bacterium. RNAcentral's name for it is "partial 16S ribosomal RNA". It matches the Rfam family "Bacterial small subunit ribosomal RNA", at positions 30 to 507 of the family's 1533-position model. The record is from RNAcentral.
AUUGAACGCUGGCGGCAGGCCUAACACAUGCAAGUCGAGCGGAUGAAGGGAGCUUGCUCCUGGAUUCAGCGGCGGACGGGUGAGUAAUGCCUAGGAAUCUGCCUGGUAGUGGGGGAUAACGUCCGGAAACGGGCGCUAAUACCGCAUACGUCCUGAGGGAGAAAGUGGGGGAUCUUCGGACCUCACGCUAUCAGAUGAGCCUAGGUCGGAUUAGCUAGUUGGUGGGGUAAAGGCCUACCAAGGCGACGAUCCGUAACUGGUCUGAGAGGAUGAUAAGUCACACUGGAACUGAGACACGGUCCAGACUCCUACGGGAGGCAGCAGUGGGGAAUAUUGGACUAUGGGCGAAAGCCUGAUCCAGCCAUGCCGCGUGUGUGAAGAAGGUCUUCGGAUUGUAAAACACUUUAAGUUGGGAGGAAGGGCAGUAAGUUAAUACCUUGCUGUUUUGACGUUACCAACAGAAUAAGCACCGGCUAACUUCGUG